This 492-nucleotide ribosomal RNA is filed under the name uncultured bacterium. RNAcentral describes it as "partial 16S ribosomal RNA". It matches the Rfam family "Bacterial small subunit ribosomal RNA", at positions 29 to 507 of the family's 1533-position model. The record is from RNAcentral.
AGUGAACGCUGGCGGUAGGCCUAACACAUGCAAGUCGAACGGCAGCACAGUAAUAGCUUGCUCUUACGGGUGGCGAGUGGCGGACGGGAGAGGAAUACAUCGGAAUCUACUUUUUCGUGGGGGAUAACGUAGGGAAACUUACGCUAAUACCGCAGACGACCUACGGGUGAAAGCAGGGGAUCUUCUGACCUUGCGCGAUUGAAUGAGCCGAUGUCGGAUUAGCUAGUUGGCGGGGUAAAGGCCCACCAAGUCGACGAUCCGUAGCUGGUCUGAGAGGAUGGUCAGCGACACUGGAACUGAGACACGGUCCAGACUCCUACGGGAGGCAGCAGUGGGGAAUAUUGGACAAUGGGCGCAAGCCUGAUCCAGCCAUACCGCGUGGGUGAAGAAGGCCUUCGGGUUGUAAAGCCGUUUUGUUGGGAAAGAAAAGCAGCAGGUUAAUACCCCGCUGUUCUGACGGUACCCAAAGAAUAAGCACCGGCUAACUUCGUG